This 433-nucleotide ribosomal RNA is filed under the name uncultured bacterium. Its description in RNAcentral is "partial 16S ribosomal RNA". It matches the Rfam family "Bacterial small subunit ribosomal RNA", at positions 29 to 507 of the family's 1533-position model. The record is from RNAcentral.
AGCGAACGCUGGCGGCAGGCCUAACACAUGCAAGUCGAACGGAUCCUUCGGGAUUAGUGGCGGACGGGUGAGUAACACGUGGGAACGUGCCCUUUGGUUCGGAACAACUCAGGGAAACUUGAGCUAAUACCGGAUGUGCCCUUCGGGGGAAAGAUUUAUCGCCAUUGGAGCGGCCCGCGUCUGAUUAGCUAGUUGGUGAGGUAACGGCCCACCAAGGCGACGAUCAGUAGCUGGUCUGAGAGGAUGAUCAGCCACACUGGAACUGAGACACGGCCCAGACUCCUACGGGAGGCAGCAGUGGGGAAUCUUGCGCAAUGGGCGAAAGCCUGACGCAGCCAUGCCGCGUGAAUGAUGAAGGUCUUAGGAUUGUAAAAUUCUUUCAGCGGGGACGAUAAUGACGGUACCCGCAGAAGAAGCUCCGGCUAACUUCGUG